GCGGUAAUACCAGCUCUUCGAGUGGUGGGGACGAUUAUUGGGCUUAAAGCGUUCGUAGCCGGCUUAACAAGUCUUCCGUUAAAUCCAACGAUCUAAUCGUUGGGCCGCGGGAGAUACUGUUGGGCUAGGAGGCGGGAGAAGCCGACGGUAUUCUCGGGGUAGGGGUGAAAUCCUGUAAUCCCGG
RNAcentral lists this ribosomal RNA (184 nucleotides) under uncultured archaeon. RNAcentral's name for it is "partial 16S ribosomal RNA". It matches the Rfam family "Archaeal small subunit ribosomal RNA", at positions 467 to 651 of the family's 1478-position model. The record is from RNAcentral.